AACGCACCUUGCGCUCCUUGGUAUUCCGAGGAGCAUGCCUGUUUGAGUGUCAUGAAAUUCUCAACCUAUCUAGUUUUCUUUAAAACUAGUUAGGCUUGGAUCAUGGAAGUUGCUGGUUCAAUUCGAAUCGGCUCUUCUUAAAUAUAUUAGCAAAGACAUUUGCUGACCAUCUUUGGUAUGAUAAUUAUCUAUAUCAUUGAUAACCAGUUCCCUUUGGGAGGUCUUGCUUCUAAUAGUCUUAUAGACAAUUUGACAAAUUUUGACCUCAAAUCAGGUAGGACUACCCGCUGAACUUAA
RNAcentral lists this unclassified non-coding RNA (297 nucleotides) under uncultured Entoloma. RNAcentral's name for it is "sequence contains ITS2". The stretch from base 1 to 52 matches the Rfam family "5.8S ribosomal RNA", at positions 103 to 154 of the family's 154-position model. The record is from RNAcentral. Lineage: Eukaryota; Fungi; Basidiomycota; Agaricomycetes; Agaricales; Entolomataceae.